This 253-nucleotide ribosomal RNA is filed under the name uncultured bacterium. Its description in RNAcentral is "partial 16S ribosomal RNA". It matches the Rfam family "Bacterial small subunit ribosomal RNA", at positions 524 to 776 of the family's 1533-position model. The record is from RNAcentral.
UACGUAGGGUCCGAGCGUUGUCCGGAAUUAUUGGGCGUAAAGGGCUCGUAGGCGGUUCGUCACGUCGGGAGUGAAAACUCGGGGCUUAACCCCGAGCCUGCUUCCGAUACGGGCAGACUAGAGGUAGGCAGGGGAGAGCGGAACUCCUGGUGUAGCGGUGGAAUGCGCAGAUAUCAGGAAGAACACCCGUGGCGAAGGCGGCCCACUGGGCCGGACCUGACGCUGAGGCGCGAAGGCGUGGGGAGCAAACGGG